RNAcentral lists this long non-coding RNA (398 nucleotides) under Struthio camelus australis. Its description in RNAcentral is "lncRNA (ENSSCUG00000001639.1)". The record is from RNAcentral. Lineage: Eukaryota; Metazoa; Chordata; Aves; Struthioniformes; Struthionidae.
UAAACCUCCUUAAAUCCCUCUUAAACCCUGCCAUACUGAGUAAAAAAUAAUACAUAGGAAAGCAGGCUGAAAUUUCCAUAGCCUUGUAACUGGUGACAUGAAGCUUCCUACCUAUGAGGUCAGGAAUGUAGCGCUAUAUUUAAUGUUUAUACCAUUGACACGUUAGUCUUUGAACGUCCUCUCGUACAGCUGGCUUUGCCUCUGAGGAAGUGCUGAGCAGUUGCAGGAAGAGUCUCCAGCCCUUGUCCGUCAUGAGUGGAUCUAGCGUCUAUGGAAACCUUCUGGUGAGAUCACAGGAGUGGUUCAGGCACUAGGUUACAUUGGUUAAGUCACUAGCCAGAUGUAGUGCAGAAGACUCCAGGAGUGACCGAACAAUUCAGUUUCCAGCUGCUGUUCAU